RNAcentral lists this ribosomal RNA (495 nucleotides) under uncultured bacterium. RNAcentral's name for it is "partial 16S ribosomal RNA". It matches the Rfam family "Bacterial small subunit ribosomal RNA", at positions 28 to 507 of the family's 1533-position model. The record is from RNAcentral.
GACGAACGCUGGCGGCGUGCCUAAUACAUGCAAGUAGGACGCUGAAGGAGGAGCUUGCUCUUCUGGAUGAGUUGCGAACGGGUGAGUAACGCGUAGGUAACCUGCCUGGUAGCGGGGGAUAACUAUUGGAAACGAUAGCUAAUACCGCAUAACAGUAGAUGUUGCAUGACAUUUACUUAAAAGGUGCAAUUGCAUCACUACCAGAUGGACCUGCGUUGUAUUAGCUAGUUGGUGGGGUAACGGCUCACCAAGGCGACGAUACAUAGCCGACCUGAGAGGGUGAUCGGCCACACUGGGACUGAGACACGGCCCAGACUCCUACGGGAGGCAGCAGUAGGGAAUCUUCGGCAAUGGACGGAAGUCUGACCGAGCAACGCCGCGUGAGUGAAGAAGGUUUUCGGAUCGUAAAGCUCUGUUGUAAGAGAAGAACGAGUGUGAGAGUGGAAAGUUCACACUGUGACGGUAGCUUACCAGAAAGGGACGGCUAACUACGUG